AUACAUGGUACACUGCCACAUACAUGCAUGCACACAUGCACACCUACACGUAUACACAUGGCACAGUGCCACAUACAUGCAUGCACACACAUACACACCUGCACACGUAUAUACAUGGCACACUGCCACAUACAUGCAUACACAGACACCUGCACAUGUACAUACAUGUGCACACUGCCACAUACAUGUGUGCACACACAAUCUAGGAGAAAGAGCCCUCAAGCAUACAGGGAGGCAUUAGAGUGGAGCGAUUAAGGGAAGGCGUUUUCGC
This 271-nucleotide long non-coding RNA is filed under the name Homo sapiens (human). Its description in RNAcentral is "HSALNT0235792". The record is from RNAcentral. Lineage: Eukaryota; Metazoa; Chordata; Mammalia; Primates; Hominidae.